This 253-nucleotide ribosomal RNA is filed under the name uncultured bacterium. Its description in RNAcentral is "partial 16S ribosomal RNA". It matches the Rfam family "Bacterial small subunit ribosomal RNA", at positions 524 to 776 of the family's 1533-position model. The record is from RNAcentral.
UACGUAGGGUGCAAGCGUUAAUCGGAAUUACUGGGCGUAAAGCGUGCGCAGGCGGCUUUGCAAGACAGAUGUGAAAUCCCCGGGCUCAACCUGGGAAUGGCAUUUGUGACUGCACGGCUAGAGUGUGUCAGAGGGGGGUAGAAUUCCACGUGUAGCAGUGAAAUGCGUAGAUAUGUGGAGGAAUACCGAUGGCGAAGGCAGCCCCCUGGGAUAACACUGACGCUCAUGCACGAAAGCGUGGGGAGCAAACAGG